CCUGGGAUAUGCUCCUGCGGCUGGAGAUGGGCAGUAUGGGCUAACAAGGUUUGAACAGCCACAGCGAACUGGUCCAUGCGAUGGUCCAGCUCCUCAAACCGGUUAUCAGGAACCGGCCCAUGAGGGUUAACACCUGCAGGGUCCAUGGCCCUAGUGUAAUGUCACGACAGUGACCCCUUCACGCAGAGAGUAACCCAGAAAGAGACGUAUACCGGACCUUAGGGUGGC
This is a non-coding RNA of Pelobates cultripes (western spadefoot toad), 228 nucleotides long. The record is from the annotation of a GenBank genome assembly. NCBI's taxonomy places the organism in Eukaryota, Metazoa, Chordata, Amphibia, Anura, Pelobatidae.